AAAAAAGAGAACCAAUCGCGCCUUUUAACUGAAAAUAGAAAAUCGACUGAAAAAAAUAUUAAUAUUUUUCUUUUUUCUUUCUCUUCUUUCUCUUUUUUCUUUUUCUUUUUCUUUUUC
RNAcentral lists this non-coding RNA (117 nucleotides) under uncultured Vexilliferidae. Lineage: Eukaryota; Discosea; Flabellinia; Dactylopodida; Vexilliferidae. The record is from RNAcentral.